Molecule: non-coding RNA, 54 nt
Organism: Salmo salar (Atlantic salmon)
Lineage: Eukaryota; Metazoa; Chordata; Actinopteri; Salmoniformes; Salmonidae
Source: Rfam
CACUUACAGUACUGUAAGUCGCUCUGGAUACGAGCAUCUGCUAAAUGACUAAGA